RNAcentral lists this ribosomal RNA (500 nucleotides) under uncultured bacterium. RNAcentral describes it as "partial 16S ribosomal RNA". It matches the Rfam family "Bacterial small subunit ribosomal RNA", at positions 30 to 523 of the family's 1533-position model. The record is from RNAcentral.
AUUGAACGCUGGCGGCAUGCCUUACACAUGCAAGUCGAACGGCAGCACGGGAGCAAUCCUGGUGGCGAGUGGCGAACGGGUGAGUAGUAUAUCGGAACGUGCCCAGUCGUGGGGGAUAACGCAGCGAAAGCUGUGCUAUUACCGCAUACGAUCUAUGGAUGAAAGCUGGGGAUCGCAAGACCCCGCGCGCUUCGAGCGGGCCAUAUCAGAUUAGCUAGUUGGUGAGGAAAAGGCUCACCAAGGCGACGAUCUGUAGCUGGUCUGAGAGGACGACCAGCCAUACGGGAACUGAGACACGGUCCAGACUCCUACGGGAGGCAGCAGUGGGGAAUUUUGGACAAUGGGCGAAAGCCUGAUCCAGCAAUGCCGCGUGCAGGAUGAAGGCCUUCGGGUUGUAAACUGCUUUUUUACGGAACGAAACGGUGAGCUCUAAUACAGUUUGCUAAUGACGGUACCGUAAGAAUAAGCACCGGCUAACUACGUGCCAGCCGCCGCCGUAA